This 460-nucleotide ribosomal RNA is filed under the name uncultured bacterium. Its description in RNAcentral is "partial 16S ribosomal RNA". It matches the Rfam family "Bacterial small subunit ribosomal RNA", at positions 338 to 795 of the family's 1533-position model. The record is from RNAcentral.
CCUACGGGUGGCAGCAGUGAGGAAUAUUGGUCAAUGGACGAGAGUCUGAACCAGCCAAGUAGCGUGAAGGAUGACUGCCCUAUGGGUUGUAAACUUCUUUUAUAUGGGAAUAAAACAGGGCAUGCAUACCCUCUUGUAUGUACCAUAUGAAUAAGGAUCGGCUAACUCCGUGCCAGCAGCCGCGGUAAUACGGAGGAUCCGAGCGUUAUCCGGAUUGAUUGGGUUUAAAGGGUGCGUAGGCGGGAGUUUAAGUCAGCGGUGAAAGUCUGUGGCUCAACCAUAGAAGUGCCGUUGAAACUGGUAGGCUUGAGUGUGUGAGAGGCAGGCGGAAUGCGUGGUGUAGCGGUGAAAUGCUUAGAUAUCACGCAGAACCCCGAUUGCGAAGGCAGCCUGCCGGGCCGUAACUGACGCUGAUGCACGAAAGCGUGGGGAUCAAACAGGAUUAGAUACCCGAGUAGUC